RNAcentral lists this ribosomal RNA (400 nucleotides) under uncultured bacterium. RNAcentral's name for it is "bacterial SSU rRNA". It matches the Rfam family "Bacterial small subunit ribosomal RNA", at positions 90 to 487 of the family's 1533-position model. The record is from RNAcentral.
GGCGAGUGGCGAACGGGUGAGUAAUACAUCGGAACGUACCCAGAAGUGGGGGAUAACGUAGCGAAAGUUACGCUAAUCCCGCAUACGUUCUACGGAAGAAAGUGGGGGAUCGCAAGACCUCAUGCUUUUGGAGCGGCCGAUGUCUGAUUAGCUAGUUGGUGAGGUAAAGGCUCACCAAGGCGACGAUCAGUAGCUGGUCUGAGAGGACGACCAGCCACACUGGAACUAAGACACGGUCCAGACUCCUACGGGAGGCAGCAGUGGGGAAUUUUGGACAAUGGGCGCAAGCCUGAUCCAGCAAUGCCGCGUGAGUGAAGAAGGCCUUCGGGUUGUAAAGCUCUUUUGUCAGGGAAGAAACGGCAGGAGCUAAUAUCCUUUGCUAAGACGGUACCUCAAGAAU